CAUAGGUUAAUGAGGCGAACCGGGGGAACUGAAACAUCUAAGUACCCCGAGGAAAAGAAAUCAACCGAGAUUCCCCCAGUAGCGGCGAGCGAACGGGGAGCAGCCCAGAGCCUGAAUCAGUGUGUGUGUUAGUGGAAGCGUCUGGAAAGGCGCGCGAUACAGGGUGACAGCCCCGUACACAAAAAUGCACAUGCUGUGAGCUCGAUGAGUAGGGCGGGACACGUGGUAUCCUGUCUGAAUAUGGGGGGACCAUCCUCCAAGGCUAAAUACUCCUGACUGACCGAUAGUGAACCAGUACCGUGAGGGAAAGGCGAAAAGAACCCCGGCGAGGGGAGUGAAAAAGAACCUGAAACCGUGUACGUACAAGCAGUGGGAGCACGCUUCGGCGUGUGACUGCGUACCUUUUGUAUAAUGGGUCAGCGACUUAUAUUCUGUAGCAAGGUUAACCGAAUAGGGGAGCCGAAGGGAAACCGAGUCUUAACUGGGCGUUAAGUUGCAGGGUAUAGACCCGAAACCCGGUGAUCUAGCCAUGGGCAGGUUGAAGGUUGGGUAACACUAACUGGAGGACCGAACCGACUAAUGUUGAAAAAUUAGCGGAUGACUUGUGGCUGGGGGUGAAAGGCCAAUCAAACCGGGAGAUAGCUGGUUCUCCCCGAAAGCUAUUUAGGUAGCGCCUCGUGAAUUCAUCUCCGGGGGUAGAGCACUGUUUCGGCAAGGGGGUCAUCCCGACUUACCAACCCGAUGCAAACUGCGAAUACCGGAGAAUGUUAUCACGGGAGACACACGGCGGGUGCUAACGUCCGUCGUGAAGAGGGAAACAACCCAGACCGCCAGCUAAGGUCCCAAAGUCAUGGUUAAGUGGGAAACGAUGUGGGAAGGCCCAGACAGCCAGGAUGUUGGCUUAGAAGCAGCCAUCAUUUAAAGAAAGCGUAAUAGCUCACUGGUCGAGUCGGCCUGCGCGGAAGAUGUAACGGGGCUAAACCAUGCACCGAAGCUGCGGCAGCGACACUGUGUGUUGUUGGGUAGGGGAGCGUUCUGUAAGCCUGUGAAGGUGUACUGUGAGGUAUGCUGGAGGUAUCAGAAGUGCGAAUGCUGACAUAAGUAACGAUAAAGCGGGUGAAAAGCCCGCUCGCCGGAAGACCAAGGGUUCCUGUCCAACGUUAAUCGGGGCAGGGUGAGUCGACCCCUAAGGCGAGGCCGAAAGGCGUAGUCGAUGGGAAACAGGUUAAUAUUCCUGUACUUGGUGUUACUGCGAAGGGGGGACGGAGAAGGCUAUGUUGGCCGGGCGACGGUUGUCCCGGUUUAAGCGUGUAGGCUGGUUUUCCAGGCAAAUCCGGAAAAUCAAGGCUGAGGCGUGAUGACGAGGCACUACGGUGCUGAAGCAACAAAUGCCCUGCUUCCAGGAAAAGCCUCUAAGCAUCAGGUAACAUCAAAUCGUACCCCAAACCGACACAGGUGGUCAGGUAGAGAAUACCAAGGCGCUUGAGAGAACUCGGGUGAAGGAACUAGGCAAAAUGGUGC
RNAcentral lists this ribosomal RNA (1521 nucleotides) under Escherichia coli. RNAcentral describes it as "partial 23S ribosomal RNA". It matches the Rfam family "Bacterial large subunit ribosomal RNA", at positions 165 to 1728 of the family's 2925-position model. The record is from RNAcentral. Lineage: Bacteria; Pseudomonadati; Pseudomonadota; Gammaproteobacteria; Enterobacterales; Enterobacteriaceae.